GGGGAGCAAACAGGAUUAGAUACNNNGGUAGUCCACGCCGUAAACGAUGAUUACUCGAUGUGUGCAAUAUAUCGUACGCGUCUAAGCAAAAGCAGUAAGUAAUCCACCUGGGGAGUACGUCGGCAACGAUGAAACUCAAAGGAAUUGACGGGGGCCCGCACAAGCGGAGGAACAUGUGGUUUAAUUCGAUGAUACGCGAGGAACCUUACCUGGAUUUGAACGUAGGUGGACUUUUUGUGAAAGCAGAAUUCCCUUCGGGGCCGCCUACGAGGUGCUGCAUGGUUGUCGUCAGCUCGUGCCGUGAGGUGUCGGAUUAAGUUCCAUAACGAGCGCAACCCUUAUCGUUAGUUGCCAUCGGGUAAUGCCGGGGACUCUAACGAAACUGCCGGUGUAAACCGUGAGGAAGGUGGGGAUGACGUCAAAUCAGCACGGCCCUUACAUCCAGGGCUACACACGUGUUACAAUGGCCAGUACAAAGGGCAGCUACUUCGCGAGAAGAUGCUAAUCUCUAAAACUGGUCUCAGUUCGGAUUGGAGCCUGAAACCCGACUCCAUGAAGCUGGAUUCGCUAGUAAUCGCGCAUCAGCCAUGGCGCGGUGAAUACGUUCCCGGGCCUUGUACACACCGCCCGUCAAGCCAUGGGAGCUGGGGGUACCUAAAGUUCGUAACCGCAAGGAGCGACCUAGGGUAAAACUGGUGACUGGGGCUAAGUCGUAACAAGGUAGCCGAAUGAAUNC
RNAcentral lists this ribosomal RNA (736 nucleotides) under uncultured bacterium. RNAcentral describes it as "bacterial SSU rRNA". It matches the Rfam family "Bacterial small subunit ribosomal RNA", at positions 763 to 1511 of the family's 1533-position model. The record is from RNAcentral.